Molecule: ribosomal RNA, 429 nt
Filed under: Gemmatimonadota bacterium
Lineage: Bacteria; Pseudomonadati; Gemmatimonadota
Description: Gemmatimonadetes bacterium partial 16S ribosomal RNA
Rfam family: Bacterial small subunit ribosomal RNA
Source: RNAcentral
UAGGGAAUCUUCGGCAAUGGUCGAAAGUCUGACCGAGCAACGCCGCGUGAGUGAAGAAGGUUUUCGGAUCGUAAAACUCUGUUGUUAGAGAAGAACAAGGACGUUAGUAACUGAACGUCCCCUGACGGUAUCUAACCAGAAAGCCACGGCUAACUACGUGCCAGCAGCCGCGGUAAUACGUAGGUGGCAAGCGUUGUCCGGAUUUAUUGGGCGUAAAGCGAGCGCAGGCGGUUUCUUAAGUCUGAUGUGAAAGCCCCCGGCUCAACCGGGGAGGGUCAUUGGAAACUGGGAGACUUGAGUGCAGAAGAGGAGAGUGGAAUUCCAUGUGUAGCGGUGAAAUGCGUAGAUAUAUGGAGGAACACCAGUGGCGAAGGCGGCUCUCUGGUCUGUAACUGACGCUGAGGCUCGAAAGCGUGGGGAGCAAACAGG